Molecule: non-coding RNA, 748 nt
Organism: Oryza sativa Japonica Group (Japanese rice)
Lineage: Eukaryota; Viridiplantae; Streptophyta; Magnoliopsida; Poales; Poaceae
Source: RefSeq, a predicted model, not a curated record
UAUCCCUUCCCAUUCACCUCUCCCAUUCCUUCUCUUCCUCCUGCAGCCUCUCCACCUCCUGUCCUCCUCCAGCCUCUCCUCCUCCUCCUGUUGGCGUAGGAAACCACGGCGGAUUAGCGACGGUGACGACGGCGACCGGGAGGGGCGCCGUGAUCCACGGCCGGGAAGGGCACGGGCACGGGUGCAGGCGUGGUGGAUCCGGCCACCGCAGAGCCGCGGGGGGCGGAUCUGGCCGCCGGAGGGCCACGGGGAGCGGAUCCGAGCGCGGGCGGCGGCGCGCGGCUGAUCUGGGCACGGGCGGCUGCUCUCGGACGCCGGCGGCGGUGCGCGGCGGAUCCAGGCGCUAGCGGGGAGGCUAGAUCCGCCGCCGCCAGAUCGGCGGCGCCUGGCCGGUGGUCACCGGGGAGCUGCAUGCUAGCUGCAGAGAGGAGGCACGACCGCACGAGAGGAUCCUCUCUUCAGUUCAUGCGUUUGGUUCUGAUCUGUUUGCACGUGAAACCAUUUCUGCAGCGGGCUGCGGUGGAGGCUGCGGCGGGGCUCUGUGCAGCGGUGGUGGAGGCCGGCGGGGCUCGGCAGCGGCGUCGUCGAGGCAGAGGCAGUGGAGGCUUGAAUGCUUGAACUUUUUUGAUGCUUGAAUGCUUGGGGGAAUAGAAAUUUUUGACUGUAAAUUUAAAUUGUGCUUGUGUGAAUUGAAUUUUUUGACUAUAAUUUUUGGUUGGGUGAAUGGAAAUUUCUGUGGAUUUUUGAA